UUUUAAAAAUAAAUAUUUGACGAAAAGUUAAGUCAGAGAAAAGCAAAAUUGAUAAACCGCGCUGCUUAUCUGGAAAGAACAAUAAAGUAGAAAAACCUGAAAAGUGUUACCAAGGUAUAAAGGAGGGAUUUGAAAGAGAUGAGCGUUGUGUACGACUCUAUGCUGUAAGUUUGAAAAAAAAUCUACAAAAAAAAAAAAAAAAAGUCAAGCAUCACCUUUUUUUUCUUUGAAGAGCAUGAAAUUGCGUCCCGCUUCCAAAAAAAACUGAUAAUUACAGCAAGCUUUAGAAAUGGGGAUUAUUUUGGUCAUUGAAUCUGAAAACAUCAAGAAGGAACAACUGAGACUUCUGUUAGUUUCUUUAUAUAUCUCACCACAGGUCUGAUCAUGGGCAGCAGUUAAGCCUCCCGAGAUCACUCCAGACUCUGAUGUUUUAUUUCACCCAGAGUAGAAGCGGGUCGCUUACCAACACACAGAGAAAUCUCAAGGAAACCUUGCUCAAACCCACACCCAUGGUUCGGUGGCAUGGAUGGGCUUCCCGUCAAGGUGCACUUGGCCAAGGCCACAGGCACUGAGGCCUUGGGGUGGGAUCUACAGCCUCCAUCUGUGUCCUCACCACCUGUGGUUUCGAGAGUCUCCAAGGGCCUUGUGGAAGAAUUGAGGCAAGGAGAUGCUGAUGUUCGUUGGCCUGGCCCAAUUCCAAGUUUGAUAAUUAGCCGUCCCCCUUCCUCAGUCUUCCUGCCAUUUCCCUGAGACAGACGGGCUCUUGCACA
Choloepus didactylus (southern two-toed sloth) is the source of this 770-nucleotide long non-coding RNA. RefSeq lists it as uncharacterized. Lineage: Eukaryota; Metazoa; Chordata; Mammalia; Pilosa; Megalonychidae. The transcript has 3 exons. The record is from RefSeq and is a predicted model, not a curated record.